Molecule: unclassified non-coding RNA, 935 nt
Filed under: Hevea brasiliensis (rubber tree)
Lineage: Eukaryota; Viridiplantae; Streptophyta; Magnoliopsida; Malpighiales; Euphorbiaceae
Source: RNAcentral
AAAAAAAAAAAAAAAAGAUCUUAAGCUAAGGAAAAUUUGGACUCGCUUGUAGUCAGGGCCUUGUGUUGAAUGAUUUACUACUGCAUUGAUGACUUGCAGAAUUCAAUAGUGCAUAGCUUUUGACUUCUAUUUGAGUUGCAAUGUAUCUCUAGACUUGCCAGUUUCCAAUUCUCCUUUUCUUACCCUAAAUUACUUUGCCACUUUUGGCUGUCAAUAUUUAGAUAUCAAGUAAAGUAAAGUUUGUAGAAUAUGUGAAGACUAGAGACUUUGGUAAUUGAGAUGGUUGUCCACUUCCAAUUUGUAUACUUGUACUUAUUAUGGUACUUUUGCUUCUGCACCUCCUUUAUCAAUUUUUGUCAGUGCAAAUGGUCAUGUGUUGUCCAAAGAAAUAAGGAAAUUUCUCUAAGAGGUGAUUAUUUUGAUCAAUGACUUGUGUCAAGCUAUUAAUGGAACCAGAUAUUGUAGAUGUAAUAGCUUGGGAAGGGGUCCAAGCUUACAAUUUUUUUUUUACACCUGCCUCCAUUGGCAUGUAUGAACAUUUUUAUUGUAAAUUGAUGUUACUUAAUGAAGUUAGCUUCGAAAAUAUUUUUAAGUGAUAGCUCAUUCAUUUGAGGUAGUGCAAUUUUUUUAUGGAUUGUAGUAGUUGGGGAAAGGGCUUAAGCCAAUCUUGCAGUACACCUACCCAGGGGUAAGCAUCAGUCGGUUUAGUUCAGCCUGAAAAGCACCAAAACUGGAUAAACCAAACCUAUUAGGAGGAUUAAAGUAAGAAGUAACUUUUAUCAAUGGUUAUUGACUUCGUAAUUUGGCUUGCAUGUUCCACUGUAUUAUUUCAUGUAUUCGUGAUUGCUUCAGAUCAGAACCUGCAGUAAAUUAACUUUGUAGCAUAACUGAUAUUUGGUGUGUUACUGAGUGCAGAUAUAUUAUAUGAUUCAUGG